UUAUUAGGUUAUAAUAAGACUACGUUUGUUACAUUAAUUGUUUGUUAAAAAUGGGCAGACGAUGACUUGGCCCAAAGACCUCAUCAUACGUCUUACAGUUCACAGGUGUUAUGGAUAUGAUUUGAUGCUAGGGACUCCGAAGAGGUCCGCUAACAUAUUCAAUUCACUAAUGAUCCUUCCGCAGGUUCACCUACGGAAA
This 199-nucleotide unclassified non-coding RNA is filed under the name uncultured fungus. RNAcentral describes it as "sequence contains ITS1, 5.8S rRNA gene". Lineage: Eukaryota; Fungi. The record is from RNAcentral.